GACGAACGCUGGCGGCGGGCUUAACACAUGCAAGUCGAACGGAAAGGCCCUGCUUUUGUGGGGUGCUCGAGUGGCGAACGGGUGAGUAACACGUGAGUAACCUGCCCUUGACUUUAGGAUAACUUCAGGAAACUGGGGCUAAUACCGGAUAGGAGCUCCUGCUGCAUGGUGGGGGUUGGAAAGUUUCGGCGGUUGGGGAUGGACUCGCGGCUUAUCAGCUUGUUGGUGGGGUAGUGGCUUACCAAGGCUUUGACGGGUAGCCGUCCUGAGAGGGUGACCGGCCCCAUUGGGACUGAGAUACGGCCCAGACUCCUACGGGAGGCAGCAGUGGGGAAUAUUACACAAUGGGCGGAAGCCUGAUGAAGAAACGCCGCGUGCGGGAUGAAGGCCUUCGGGUUGUAAACCGCUUUCGCCUGUGACGAAGCGUGAGUGACGUUAAUAGGUAAAGAAGCACCGGCUAACUACGUG
This 468-nucleotide ribosomal RNA is filed under the name uncultured bacterium. RNAcentral's name for it is "partial 16S ribosomal RNA". It matches the Rfam family "Bacterial small subunit ribosomal RNA", at positions 28 to 507 of the family's 1533-position model. The record is from RNAcentral.